AAAGAUAUAAUUUAUCUCCAGUUGGUGGUGUGGUUGAUAGAGGAAAAUAGAUGUAAAUUUUUGUUAGGUUUUCUAGUUUAAAGAACAAAAAAGCUCUUUUUUCAGUGUGUAACAUUAAAAGAAUUAAUUUAUUAAUUUUUGGUUACUUUUUUUUAAAAAAACAGGGGAAUAAUGUUGUGCCAGCAUUCGCGGUUAAACAAUACCCUAAAACUAGACAUUUUGGGUGGGUGAAGUCUUUAGAUGUUAAUGAUUUUAUAUAUUAAUUUAGGUGAAAUUUAUUAAUAUAUUUUUUUUUUAUAUGUCUUUAAAAUCUUGAUUUAAACUAGGAUUAGAUACCCUAUUAUUCAAGUAUAAUAAUUAGUAACUCUAGGAUUAAUAGUUGAGAAAGUGAAAUUAAAAGAUUUUGGCGGUUUAUCAAUCUUUUUAGAGGAAUCUGUGUUUUAAUUGAAAUCCCACAAUUUAUUAUACCUUUAAUUUUCUUGUAUAUCUCUGUCGUUGAAUGUAUUGGGAGAUAAUUUUCUUUUUUUUUUGGAAAAUUAUGUUAGGUCAAGGUGCAGUUAUUUAUUGGAUAAUGUGGAUUACAUUAAUUUUUGUUUGUUAAUUUUUGUUUAAAUGUUGAUUUUAAAUUUAAUUGGAUUUAAUAGUAAUUUUGUUUUUUAAAUUUUAUGAAUAAAUUUUUGUUCUGGUUUAUGUACAUAUUGCCCGUCACUCUCAUUUAUUGAGAUAAGUCGUAACAAAGUAGGUGUAUUGGAAAAUGUAUCUAGUUG
RNAcentral lists this non-coding RNA (767 nucleotides) under Ugyops sp. APL-2018. The record is from RNAcentral. Lineage: Eukaryota; Metazoa; Arthropoda; Insecta; Hemiptera; Delphacidae.